This 506-nucleotide ribosomal RNA is filed under the name uncultured bacterium. RNAcentral describes it as "partial 16S ribosomal RNA". It matches the Rfam family "Bacterial small subunit ribosomal RNA", at positions 29 to 523 of the family's 1533-position model. The record is from RNAcentral.
AGUGAACGCUGGCGGUAGGCCUAACACAUGCAAGUCGAACGGCAGCACAGGAGAGCUUGCUCUCUGGGUGGCGAGUGGCGGACGGGUGAGGAAUACAUCGGAAUCUACUCUUUCGUGGGGGAUAACGUAGGGAAACUUACGCUAAUACCGCAUACGACCUUCGGGUGAAAGCAGGCGACCUUCGGGCCUUGCGCGAUUGAAUGAGCCGAUGUCGGAUUAGCUAGUUGGCGGGGUAAAGGCCCACCAAGGCGACGAUCCGUAGCUGGUCUGAGAGGAUGAUCAGCCACACUGGAACUGAGACACGGUCCAGACUCCUACGGGAGGCAGCAGUGGGGAAUAUUGGACAAUGGGCGCAAGCCUGAUCCAGCCAUACCGCGUGGGUGAAGAAGGCCUUCGGGUUGUAAAGCCCUUUUGUUGGGAAAGAAAAGCACUUGGUUAAUACCCUUGUGUUCUGACGGUACCCAAAGAAUAAGCACCGGCUAACUUCGUGCCAGCAGCCGCCGUAA